AAAAUUGACCCGGGGCCCGAUUUACUUGUUACACACAAAUCGAGGGCCCCGGUCGGCGCACCGCAGGCCCGUCUCAUGAUGCCACAACGUUGGCGAGGCGGAGCCAGAGCGCACACGUUGGGACCCGAAAGAUGGUGAACUAUGCUUGGGCAGGACGAAGCCAGAGGAAACUCUGGUGGAGGUCCGUAGCGAUUCUGACGUGCAAAUCGAUCGUCGGACCUGAGUAUAGGGGCGAAAGACUAAUCGAACCGUCUAGUAGCUGGUUCCCUCCGAAGUUUCCCUCAGGAUAGCUGGCACUCGGUGAGGAACGCAGUCUCAUCCGGUAAAGCGAAUGAUUAGAGGCCUUGGGGCCGAAACGACCUCAACCUAUUCUCAAACUUUCAAUGGGUGAGAAGUCCGGCAUGCUUGACUUGAUGCCCGGACGGCACCCCUCUUGAAAUUACGGAGGUUCGUUCAAACGAGAUUCCCACUGUAUAAAAAAGAGCAAAAGAGGUGUCAGCCGGUGUGCUGGGGCCAUCGUUUCCCCGGAAUGUCGGCGGGUCAAACCCCGGCAGGAAAGGGAUCGAUCGGUUACCCGGUCGCCUGGUAAAAAGAAAGAUAAAAAAACGGAUGCGA
Molecule: ribosomal RNA, 615 nt
Filed under: Scolopocryptops mexicanus
Lineage: Eukaryota; Metazoa; Arthropoda; Chilopoda; Scolopendromorpha; Cryptopidae
Description: eukaryotic LSU rRNA
Rfam family: Eukaryotic large subunit ribosomal RNA
Source: RNAcentral